This is a long non-coding RNA of Corapipo altera (White-ruffed manakin), 538 nucleotides long. RefSeq lists it as uncharacterized. Lineage: Eukaryota; Metazoa; Chordata; Aves; Passeriformes; Pipridae. The record is from RefSeq and is a predicted model, not a curated record. The transcript is spliced from 2 exons.
GGGGGACCUGUGCCUCUGGGGCCUGACAGGCUCUGUGUUCCCAGGGAUCGCCGCCAGGUCCAUGAAGCAGGAGCAGCCAGAGCUGCAGCUCAUCUGCCAAGCCCUUCAAAGCAUGACUGAUGACAGCCCUGCUGUCUCAGACCUGGCACUUGAAACGCUCCACAUCAUCAGAGCUGUACAGAGAACUCCAUUCUUCCCAUUCUGGUAGUCUCCGUUGCUGCCUCUUCCAGCCCGUAGAGGCGUGACAGAUGACAUCAGACUCGCCAUGGCAGGCCUGGCAAUUCAACACUGCUACGUGCUGAGAACUGUACAGAUGGCUCCCUACUGCAGAUUCCAGCAGCUCCAAGACUGGCUGUGCAGGGCGUGGCAGGCCCGGCCUUUUCCACAGGGCAGUGUCUGCCUGUGCUGCUGACGCUCUGUGGAGAACUGAUGCAGGAAGCUCCAUCUCCUGGGGCCACCUGAGCCUGUGGGGAAGAUGCUUCUUCCCUGCAAGCACCUCCUUUGAGCCCAGCAUAGGAAUACAACCAAUAUGUUAUCA